Caenorhabditis elegans is the source of this 144-nucleotide non-coding RNA. Lineage: Eukaryota; Metazoa; Nematoda; Chromadorea; Rhabditida; Rhabditidae. The record is from Ensembl.
UCGUAUUCGCUUUUCGGGCGAUUUCACCUUCGUACCAGUCGGUACAGGUCGGUGCGCGCGCUCCACCUCUCUCUCUCUCUCAUAUACCGAUUUCUUUUCCGCAGUUUUCCAUUGCGAUUCUUUUACCACCCAUGAGAAGAAGAA